RNAcentral lists this ribosomal RNA (729 nucleotides) under Salmonella enterica subsp. enterica serovar Stanley. Its description in RNAcentral is "partial 23S ribosomal RNA". It matches the Rfam family "Bacterial large subunit ribosomal RNA", at positions 460 to 1190 of the family's 2925-position model. Lineage: Bacteria; Pseudomonadati; Pseudomonadota; Gammaproteobacteria; Enterobacterales; Enterobacteriaceae. The record is from RNAcentral.
CCAAGGCUAAAUACUCCUGACUGACCGAUAGUGAACCAGUACCGUGAGGGAAAGGCGAAAAGAACCCCGGCGAGGGGAGUGAAAAAGAACCUGAAACCGUGUACGUACAAGCAGUGGGAGCACCCUUCGGGGUGUGACUGCGUACCUUUUGUAUAAUGGGUCAGCGACUUAUAUUCUGUAGCAAGGUUAACCGAAUAGGGGAGCCGGAGGGAAACCGAGUCUUAAUUGGGCGUUAAGUUGCAGGGUAUAGACCCGAAACCCGGUGAUCUAGCCAUGGGCAGGUUGAAGGUUGGGUAACACUAACUGGAGGACCGAACCGACUAAUGUUGAAAAAUUAGCGGAUGACCUGUGGCUGGGGGUGAAAGGCCAAUCAAACCGGGAGAUAGCUGGUUCUCCCCGAAAGCUAUUUAGGUAGCGCCUCGUGAAUUCAUCUCCGGGGGUAGAGCACUGUUUCGGCUAGGGGGCCAUCCCGGCUUACCAACCCGAUGCAAACUGCGAAUACCGGAGAAUGUUAUCACGGGAGACACACGGCGGGUGCUAACGUCCGUCGUGAAGAGGGAAACAACCCAGACCGCCAGCUAAGGUCCCAAAGUCAUGGUUAAGUGGGAAACGAUGUGGGAAGGCCCAGACAGCCAGGAUGUUGGCUUAGAAGCAGCCAUCAUUUAAAGAAAGCGUAAUAGCUCACUGGUCGAGUCGGCCUGCGCGGAAGAUGUAACGGGGCUAAACCAU